ACAAGUUUUCGGGAGAACCUCCCUUUCUCAAGUCUGAAGCAUUUCCAGACUUGAGAAAGGGAGGUUCUCCCGAAAGCUUG
RNAcentral lists this microRNA precursor (80 nucleotides) under Pelobates cultripes (western spadefoot toad). The record is from RNAcentral. Lineage: Eukaryota; Metazoa; Chordata; Amphibia; Anura; Pelobatidae.